UACGGGGGGAGCAAGCGUUGUUCGGAUUUACUGGGCGUAAAGGGCGCGUAGGCGGUCGUGACAAGUCACUUGUGAAAUCUCCGGGCUUAACUCGGAACGGUCAAGUGAUACUGUCGGACUAGAGUACAGAAGGGGCAACUGGAAUUCUCGGUGUAGCGGUGAAAUGCGUAGAUAUCGGAAGGAACGCCGGUGGCGAAAGCGACGGACUGGAUCUCUUCUGACGCUGAGGCGCGAAAGCCAGGGGAGCAAACGGG
RNAcentral lists this ribosomal RNA (254 nucleotides) under uncultured bacterium. Its description in RNAcentral is "partial 16S ribosomal RNA". It matches the Rfam family "Bacterial small subunit ribosomal RNA", at positions 524 to 776 of the family's 1533-position model. The record is from RNAcentral.